RNAcentral lists this ribosomal RNA (434 nucleotides) under uncultured Ruminococcus sp. RNAcentral describes it as "partial 16S ribosomal RNA". It matches the Rfam family "Bacterial small subunit ribosomal RNA", at positions 341 to 792 of the family's 1533-position model. The record is from RNAcentral. Lineage: Bacteria; Bacillati; Bacillota; Clostridia; Eubacteriales; Oscillospiraceae.
ACGGGAGGCAGCAGUGGGGAAUAUUGCACAAUGGGGGGAACCCUGAUGCAGCGAUGCCGCGUGGAGGAAGAAGGUUUUCGGAUUGUAAACUCCUGUCUUAAGGGACGAUAAUGACGGUACCUUAGGAGGAAGCUCCGGCUAACUACGUGCCAGCAGCCGCGGUAAUACGUAGGGAGCGAGCGUUGUCCGGAAUUACUGGGUGUAAAGGGAGCGUAGGCGGGAUGGCAAGUCAGAUGUGAAAACUAUGGGCUUAACCCAUAGACUGCAUUUGAAACUGUCGUUCUUGAGUGAAGUAGUGGUAAGCGGAAUUCCUGGUGUAGCGGUGAAAUGCGUAGAUAUCAGGAGGAACAUCGGUGGCGAAGGCGGCUUACUGGGUUUUUACUGACGCUGAGGCUCGAAAGCGUGGGGAGCAAACAGGAUUAGAUACCCUGGUA